Molecule: ribosomal RNA, 448 nt
Filed under: uncultured eukaryote
Lineage: Eukaryota
Description: bacterial SSU rRNA
Rfam family: Eukaryotic small subunit ribosomal RNA
Source: RNAcentral
UCGUCAUAUGCUUGUCUCAAAGAUUUAGCCAUGCAUGUGUAAGUUCAGCCAGCUUAAGGUGAAACUGCGCAUAGCUCAUUAUAUCAGUGGUUAUCUACAAGCUUGUGAAGCAAAGGGAUAUUCGUGGCAAUUCUACGCUUAAUACCUGCCGAUUCCCGAAUUUCUUAGUUCGUAUGAUGACCCAUUAGGGCCUUGCUCUCGAUCCACUGCCCUAUCAACUUCCGAUGGUAGUAUAGAGGACUACCAUGGUUUCGACGGGUAACGGGGAAUCAGGGUUCGAUUCCGGAGAGGGAGCCUGAGAAAUAGCUACCACAUCCAAGGAUGGCAGCAGGCGCGCAAAUUACCCACUGGGAAAUCCCCGAGGUAGUUAUGAGCAAUAGCUAAGCGUUCUCCUUUUGGGGCACGCCAUAGCCAUGAGGUCAACGUGAACAAUUGACCGAAGGCAACU